AUUGAACGCUGGCGGCAUGCUUUACACAUGCAAGUCGAACGGCAGCGCGGGCUUCGGCCUGGCGGCGAGUGGCGAACGGGUGAGUAAUACAUCGGAACGUGCCCAGUAGUGGGGGAUAGCUCGGCGAAAGCCGGAUUAAUACCGCAUACGACCUGAGGGUGAAAGCGGGGGAUCUUCGGACCUCGCGCUAUUGGAGCGGCCGAUGGCAGGUUAGCUAGUUGGGGGGGUAAAGGCCUACCAAGGCGACGAUCUGUAGCUGGUCUGAGAGGACGACCAGCCACACGGGGACUGAGAAACGGCCCAGAUUCCUACGGGAGGCAGCAGGGGGGAAUUUUGGACAAUGGGCGAAAGCCUGAUCCAGCAAUGCCGCGUGUGUGAUGAAGGCCUUCGGGUUGUAAAGCACUUUUGGCGGGAACGAAAAGGACUGUGCCAAUACCACGGUUCGAUGACGGUACCCGCAGAAUAAGCACCGGCUAACUACGU
This 483-nucleotide ribosomal RNA is filed under the name uncultured bacterium. Its description in RNAcentral is "partial 16S ribosomal RNA". It matches the Rfam family "Bacterial small subunit ribosomal RNA", at positions 29 to 506 of the family's 1533-position model. The record is from RNAcentral.